GAAAGAAAAGGAAAAAGAUUGCCCAUCCCUUGUUUCAUGAUUUAAUCUCUCUUGUUUGUCGUCAUCUUUUGCCCUAAUCCCCCAAUCCCUACCACUCACUUUGCCCUUGAUCCACAACCACUCCCCCCCUUCUCUCUAACUGCCACCGUCCUAAUUCUAUUCUUUUCCAUCAUUAGCUCACCUCCUAAAUUCCUUCUCCUCCUUCAAAAGCCUAACUACUACUAUGGUCGUUGGAUAUCUUGCUUUGCCACCUCACCGAAUGUCGUCAUACCCCAUCUCUCUAGUUUCUCAACCCAUGCCUCAUAGAUAGAACCAUCGCUAGCAUUGUGAUUGGUCUCGGCCACUCGAUUGAUGCUGAACAUUCAGAUCCGCUCUUUUCCACUGAUCCACCAUGAUCUGCUCCUCUUUGCUAUUAUCCACU
RNAcentral lists this long non-coding RNA (421 nucleotides) under Phoenix dactylifera (date palm). RNAcentral's name for it is "long non-coding RNA (PDAC_LNC007160)". Lineage: Eukaryota; Viridiplantae; Streptophyta; Magnoliopsida; Arecales; Arecaceae. The record is from RNAcentral.